This 28-nucleotide non-coding RNA is filed under the name Rattus norvegicus (Norway rat). Lineage: Eukaryota; Metazoa; Chordata; Mammalia; Rodentia; Muridae. The record is from RNAcentral.
UACCAAGAUGAGGAAUGGAGUAGUGUGC